AGGGGUGUGGGGAGCGGAGGGGCUGGGAAAGAGCCUCAGGGGCUGAACUCAGCAGCCUGGUUCCAGCGGUUUCCCGAGAAGCACACAUAUAUUUUGUUUUGAGACUCCCAUAUCUAAAACUGUCCCUCUACCCUUUUACUGGAUUAGUAUUUUGGCAGCACACAGAAUUCUAGGCUAAUUAUGUGUCAUCUGAUGAUUCUAAGCUACCAAAAUGAGUUCUGAUAAGGUGAUACAAGCUCAGUGAUACAGUUUUAGCUAAACUCCGAAAAUUUCUUUAAUGUACGUUCCAUCUUCCCAUAAGCACGGCGACCCCACAAGGAGAAAUUCAUUAUCCUUGUUCUAGAAGAGGCUUUCAUCAUUUUUUUUGCCACUACCUUUAAAAUCAGCACUUAGCUAUUCACCCCAAAUCUACCGAUUCCCACCCAUCCUUCACAUGGAUGCUGCAUUUAUGAACAAGUCUGGUCCAGCUACUUCCACAUUUCAACAGGACAAAUUCUAAACCAUCAGAGUAAUUUUCCAAUCAGAACAAAUACUAACAAGGAAGUGACACACAGCAGUCCGUCCUCUGCUUCCUAACAGGACUCUAUGAGAACAUGGUGAUGUCCUACCACAAAGAAAGCAACACCUGAUUAUCAAUAACUUCUCUGGUCCGGCCAAGGAUGAGCAAGGAACAAAGAGCUUUUAGAACAUUAAGCAUACAUCUAAAUUUAUUUGACCUGAGGAUCCAGCCUGGCCUCUCAAGAGCAGACGCUCACAUGAUAAAACGUGCUGGGAACUCACCAUGUACUCAGCAAAGGGAAGCAAAGGGGUAUUAAUCAAUGUUUUGAUUAAUUACACGUACAUAGAAUUUAAGACAAAGUAAAGGCUCUUCCAUCCCCGCAAGUCCCCAGAGAAAAUUUAUAACAGCAAAGUAUCAUCAUUACUAAAUUAGAGCGUGACCAGUCAUCAGGGCACCAAACACAGGCUAUACCGAUGCAAACCUCCUUUCGUUGAGGGUGACACACCCCAUGACAAAAUCCUGUGCCAAAGAGUGUGCUACAGUCUGGGACAGGAAUCCCAAAUUGGUUACUGCUCAUCACUGGUUGGUUCCUGGACACCUGCAGGACCUGUGGGCUCUGUCCCCACUCACCUUCUCUGUUCCCCAGCUGGCUGCAGGCAGACAGGACAAUCUCCGAUGCCCCUUCUGUUCACCCAGUCCUUUUGCUUUGUCACUACUCCUGGAGCUUUCUCUCAAACUUUCCCAGAAUUUACAGGGGAAUCUCUUCCAUAAAAAAAAAUAAAUUUGGCUCUCAGAAGGGAGCUCCAGCUUUCCCCAAACUGACAUUUUGGCACCAGAGAGGGGUGGUGGCUUCGUUUUUGUAGCCUGGUGACAAGCACAGGAGGUGAAUGAAUGGGCGAGUGAAUGCAGGCGCCAAUCACUCAGAUCAACCCACCGCAGAGAUCUCGCUCAUCUGAAUUCUCUUUCACAAGAUAAAAAGGUUAGUAAUUACUUUAGGACUGCAUCUGUUUUCUACUCUGAGACGUCAUUGAAAAGACCAAAAUAAGUUCAUGUGAAAUCUCUGAUUGGAAUCAAAGUACCGCCAUAAAGAUGCAGGCAGCCUGCUGCAUCUAGGGUAAUUGCGAGCAGCCUAACGACUAUUUUAAUCACUGCAUUUAGGCCCAGCUCUACUUCAGAGCCCUGGCUUCAUUUCCAUUUUAAAUGCGACAGUUUUCAGUCCUUGAUCGCUUUCCUAUCAGCAAUUUUUAGGCUACUACACUUAAAGGUUUGGAAUCUUAUUUUCCCAUUAGCCUACUGGUCUUGCCCAAGUCCACGCUGACUUGGGAAAAGUGACUGCCUGCCGUGAUGGAAGGGAAGUACUCAACCCGACAGACUCAGCCCUUUUUAAAAACUGGAAGCAGGGGUGAGUCAUGGAACUCCCUCUGCAGCAGCACCUCUAUCUUCCCAGCCCUGGGCUGGCGACAGGUGUGUGAGGGACUCCUCUGAUGGCUGUGGAUAGGGGAGGCUGGAAUUUCUGCCUUACGGAUUUUCCAGAUGUGCAUUUUUAGUUUAUAGAUGUGCCAUACUUUACAGAAGAAAUGUCUAUAAUAUCAAGAAUAAGGGCAUUUAUUUAUGAGUUGAAUUUUCAAGACUUCUACAAAUAGUUUUCUCCUAGAUCUGGAUAUUUAAUUGCAAGGCAGUAAAACAAUCUGAGAUUAAGAAAUUUAACUUUUGUUCAUCGUAGUCAUAAUAGUAGUAGUAAUUGCUAUCUCUUGGUCCUGUUUUAUUUUUGUUAAAAAUCUUAGAGGGGGAAAAAAAGUUGGCUGAAUGGACCAGCAGGUGAGAUGAAGAGUUGAUUGUCUUCAAACGUAAAAUAUCUCAAGCAAGAAAAGAAGAAAAAAGUCUCUUCAAUAAAUGUUGGCAAUAUUUUCGAGAUUUUUUUCUUUUUUUGGUGCAAGGACAGUAAAGGAAAACAAAGGGCACUCAACUAAUUAGAAGAUAAACUGUGAUUCUCCGAAGAAAACCAGCCCCCAUCUCAGGAAACUUCCAUAGGAGAGGACAUGACUCACCAGUCCAUUCCCAGGUCCAACCACUGUUUCUAAUGAAUGAACUGGCGCUAUUAUUUAAAAGGAUCAGAAUCUAUAGUGAGGUAGUAGAACAGAGUAUGGGGGCAGGGAACCUAAGGCCGAUUCACGCUGACUUCCUAGAACUAAAUCGAACGAAAACCCCAACUUUCCACACCUAAGUAACAAAAGGACCUGAGGCUGCUCCCUUUGCAACCCCCUCCCUGCCUUUUCUGCAAGGCAGAUGGAAAACUGAAAGUGCCUCCACCUGGUUGCUUUCUGCAACCAAUCAAUCAGACAUUUGCAUAGGAGUGUAACUUUGUAACUUUGCUUCAGCCUUUGAUUGGUUGCUUUCCACAACCAAUCAGACUGACCGUAGGCCAAAUCUUCAUUUGCAUAGAAGUGUAACCUUUGUAACCUCACUUCCACCUUGGAUUGGUUGCUUUCUGCAACAAAUCAGACUGACUGGGGGCCAUGACUUCAUUUGCAUGGGGUGUACACCAAAUGGCCAAUGGGAAACCUCUAGAGGAUAUUUAAACCCCAGAAAAUUCUGUUACUGGGUUCUUGAGCCCCUAU
Molecule: long non-coding RNA, 3117 nt
Filed under: Homo sapiens (human)
Lineage: Eukaryota; Metazoa; Chordata; Mammalia; Primates; Hominidae
Description: HSALNT0309598
Source: RNAcentral